Long non-coding RNA from Helianthus annuus (common sunflower), 406 nucleotides. RefSeq lists it as uncharacterized. The record is from RefSeq and is a predicted model, not a curated record. The transcript is spliced from 3 exons. NCBI's taxonomy places the organism in Eukaryota, Viridiplantae, Streptophyta, Magnoliopsida, Asterales, Asteraceae.
CCAGGAGGCAAAAGAGGACAAAACCCUUGUUCAUCCAAUUAAAGCUUAAAUUAUGCAUAUUAGAAGGAUUUUGGGUUGUUUCCUUGUUGCAUGAUACAUAAUCUUCAUCCUCAAAACAAGUCCUAAGCAAGGAUUGAAAGAAGGCGACUCGAGUCAACCGGGACGCAAACAAGACAAGACAAAAGUAAAUAGUCUCAUGGAGCAGUCUUGGACCGGAUGAACGAACACACAUACUGCAUCAUUUAUAUGCUUCCGCUCAUCGAGUUCAAAAAGGGGUGUUAGUGUCUUUUGUUGAUGGAUGUUUUUAAUGUGAUGUAAAUGUUACAACUUUUAUUUCUUUUGGAAACUUGUCGUAGAUUUUAGUUUGAAUGAUGGUUGUUAAAAACAGGGAAACGCUAAUACUACG